GACCACAGGCCAGAAGCAAGCUCUUAUCGUCCGCCUGCCCUGCAGAGCUACGCACAAUCCUGCGAUCUGAUCAGUGGCUAAUUCUCAUCAGAAUCCCCAGGAAUGGAGGGGAAACCCCAAAUCAAAGCAAACAAUGACUCCAAGAGAAAUACCUGCUAAACAUCUGAGACAGGCCGGGCAUGGACCAGGCUGCUCUUGGAGAUCUGAGCUCCGCCUUCCUGAAGGAGGAGGUACACAAGGUUCAGCUUUCAGGCUCUGCCCAUGAGGAAUCUUAAAGACCACCCACUCUUAAAUUCCCACUUCCCACCCCGGACCUGCGGCAAGGAGGAGGAAGAGCCUGGAGCUGCCCUUGUCUUUGUAAGAGCCUAACAGAAACCAAACCUUUCUCCAUGUGAAGGCUACACAGGCUUAACUGAAAUGUCAGAUUCUUUGCUGGAACUUUAACGGGGAACGUGGUAAAUAUACAUUUCAGCAAUUGUUAAUUCAGGAUUCUGUUUCAUGUGAAAUCAGACCAUGAGAGCUGGCCCGGAAGCUCUGGCUAGAUUGUUUUCCUACCAAACCAGCUUACGAGUCCAUAAUUAUUGGAUGAGUGUUAUCUGAUGGCCCUGAAACGUUCAAACAUUUGGACAUGGAGUGUGGGGAGAGAGAGAGAGAGAGAGAGAGAGAGAGAGAGAGAGAGAGAGAGAGAAGGAGAGGGGAUAGAGAGCUGGGAUAAUCCAAAGGCACAAUGUAACUAGGCCUGAUGAUGACAUAGUCCUAUAAUAAUCCCGGCUACUCAGGAAGCUGAGGCAGGAGGAUUUCAUGUUCAAAGCCUGACUGGGCAAUUGAGUGAGAUCUUGUCUCAAAAACAAAGAGCUGAAGAGAUGUGUAUGUUGGGUAAUUCCUCCAAGCCCAGCAUUUGGAGGCGGGAGGAUCAGGAGUUCAAAUCAUCCUCUUAGUAUAUAACCAGUUCGAGGUCAACCUUGCCUACAUAAGACCCUAGCAAGCAAACAAUCAAAACAACAACAACAAUAGCAAAGGAGAGAGCUGGGAAUAGAGCUCUUUGGUAGAGCUCUUGUCCAGCAAGUCUGAGGCCCUCAGGUCAAUACCCAGUACAGAAAAAGAAAAACUGUCCUUUUUUCAUAAAUGAGACGUAAAGUGGGUGACAAAGUUAGGCAGGGGUCCCCUAGCAAAAGUGGGCCAUAUCCCAGGGGUCUUGAGCCCUGGCUCUGGGCUGUGGAGGAGAUUGAGGAAAAGGAAGAGUUAACUAAUUUUGUAUUUUCAGGCUGUGGCCCAGAACCAACUGGGAGAUAAGAGAGAGGGAGCCCUGGGAACACACAGCCUGUGACUGGAGAGAUUGAGCAAGGCAGGAAAGCAGGUGCAGGUGACAACAGAGAAUGGGGGAGUGUGACACAGAGUGACAACCAGAGCCAGGCAGAAGGGGGCUCCCGGGAACCGCCCCCCUCCCCCACAGAAGGGACUCCCGGGAACCAUCCCCCCCAGACAGAAGGGGCUCCCGGGAACCAUCCCCCCAGACAGAAGGGGCUCCCGGGAACCAUCCCCCCCACAGAAGGGGCUCCCGGGAACCAUCCCCCCCCACAGAAGGGGCUCCCGGGAACCAUCCCCCCCAAGACAGAAGGGGCUCCUGGGAACCAUCGCCCCCAGACAGAAGGGGCUCCCAGGAACUGCCCUCCCAGACAGAAGGGGCUCCCAGGAACCAUCUCCCCCCAGACAGAAGGGGCUCCCGGAAACCAUCCCCCCCACUCCCGGGACUCCAUGUGGCCAGACACCUGCUGGGCCAGACUCUACAGGGUCCUCUGAAGUUCUCUCUGUGGUCAGGAGGGUCCUGAAGGGAGAAAGCUUGGCCUCAGCUGGCUCUGGCCCACACCUGGGGUCAGGGCUGCCUCUUGCCUAGACUUCUGGUCUUUCUUCACAUUCCCCACCCAUUUCCUCUCCUCGUGGGCUGUUCCUCUGUUUCUUCAGAACCAGCUCUUGCUAGCAGUUCUGCCCAAGUUCUGGGAGCCUGACUGUGUGGAGGAAAGAGCACCAGGCCAAGAGUUCAAAGUCCAGGGCUGAGCCUUCCUGGCCCUCUCUGGGGGGCAGCAAAGUCAGCCCGGCUCAGAGUAAAGGUCUCAGUGACUAGACAGGCUUCUGUCCACUGCAAACUGCUUUGCCAGCCAGGGCUCCUGGCUGAGGAUGGGAUGGCUCAGGGCUGCCUCUCUCCGUCGUCUCCCACUGCUCUCCCAGCGGGACUAUGGGCACCUGUCCCCAGGCCCUCUCUCGUCUUGCUUAGGCAGUAAGCUGCCACCUGUGUGAGGGGUGGCUGGGCAUGCUGCCCAGAGCUAAGGAGAGCCUGCCCCUGGGGACUGGCCCAGGCCUUCUUGUUCAGCCAGAAAUUCCAGCCUUUGAAGGAUCCGGGUGGAGAAGGGGCCUUUUCCAGGUUGCCUUUCCAGAUCUGUUUUUCCAGCCUGGCAUUAUCGCCCAGCCUCGAGGGAGACGUCCCUGGUCUUUGGUUGGGUUUUCUGGAAAGGAGUUGGCCUGAGCCACCCUGAUGUGGGGAGGCUCUGUCCCCCUCACCCAGGUUUUUGGGAAGGACAGAUCUGUGGUGGGUUGGAGCCCACUACGUAGUCCCCGAUGACACUGAACUUGGGGUAAGCCUCCAGGCUCAGCCCCCCCCCCCAAGUUCUGGGAUUACAGGUGUGUGCCACCACCACCUGUUUAGGAAUACUUUUUUGACUCAGCUUCCUUGAGGUCUGAUUUACAUUUAUGUAUCCAUUUGAGGCAUACUGACCAAUGACAGAUACACGUGUUUGUGUACAUGCAUGUGAAUCAGGUGCAGAGCAUUUUUACCACCCUGCAGGCUUCCCUCAAUGUCCCCUCCUCAGUCAGUAACUCGCACCCCCCACACCUCCAACCCCCACUCCCCCGGCAACCAGGUUCACUACGGAUCAGCUCCUGUGUCCCAUGUUUACCAUGGUGCACCUGGGAACCAUCCACAGCAUUGCAUCUAUCAGCAGCUCUUUAGUGGUAGAGUAAUAUUCCACCGGAUGGUCCUAUCGAAUUUGUUUAUCCAUUCACCUGGGUUUAGAUAUUCUGGUUGUUUCUGGUUUGUAGUGAAUAAAAUGCCUAUGAACUUUUGCAUAUGAACCUUUGUGCAUGAACAUGUUGUGUUAGUAACAAAAAUAGGGUAGCUAAAUCCUAUGUUUAUGGUAUGUUUAUGGUUCCUCUCUCUCUCUCUCUCUCUCUCUCUCUCUCUCUUUCUGUGUGUGUGUGUGUGUGUGUGUGUGUGUCUGUCUGUCUGUCUGUCUGUCUCUUUCUCUGUCUCUCUGUCUUCUCUCAGGAUCAAACCAGAACCUCACACUCACCCACAGCCCUUGGUGCUUUUUUGUUCGUUUGUGUUUGUUUGUUUGUUUGUUUUUUCAAGACAGGGUUUCUCUGUGUAGCCCUG
This is a long non-coding RNA of Peromyscus leucopus (white-footed mouse), 3427 nucleotides long. RefSeq lists it as uncharacterized. The transcript is spliced from 3 exons. NCBI's taxonomy places the organism in Eukaryota, Metazoa, Chordata, Mammalia, Rodentia, Cricetidae. The record is from RefSeq and is a predicted model, not a curated record.